CAGAGUUCAUGCCCUUACGGGUAGAUCUCCCACCCUGUGUUAUUAUUACUUUGUUGCUUUGGCGGGCCGUCAGGCUUCGGCAUGGCUACCGGCUCCGGCUGGUAAGCGCCCGCCAGAGGAUUCCAAACUCUGAAUAUUAGUGUCGUCUGAGUACUAUAUAAUAGUUA
This 167-nucleotide unclassified non-coding RNA is filed under the name uncultured fungus. RNAcentral describes it as "sequence contains ITS1, 5.8S rRNA gene". Lineage: Eukaryota; Fungi. The record is from RNAcentral.